Podarcis lilfordi (Lilford's wall lizard) is the source of this 70-nucleotide non-coding RNA. Lineage: Eukaryota; Metazoa; Chordata; Lepidosauria; Squamata; Lacertidae. The record is from the annotation of a GenBank genome assembly.
AGGUGGCACAACUGAUCCAUGCAUCUGGCUGUUAACCAGAAGGUUGGUGGUUGAAGCCCACCCAGCGAUG